Molecule: transfer RNA, 82 nt
Filed under: Bacteroidales bacterium
Lineage: Bacteria; Pseudomonadati; Bacteroidota; Bacteroidia; Bacteroidales
Also listed under: 2 other names
Description: tRNA-Leu
Rfam family: tRNA
About the family: Transfer RNA (tRNA) molecules are approximately 80 nucleotides in length. Their secondary structure includes four short double-helical elements and three loops (D, anti-codon, and T loops).
Source: RNAcentral
GCGGAUAUGGCGUAAUUGGUAGCCGCGCAAGACUUAGGAUCUUGUUCCGAGAGGAGUGGGGGUUCGAGCCCCCCUAUCCGCA